GUGAUUCCAAAAUCAUUUUCUCCCCCAACAAAAGGCUCUUAGAAAAUUUUGCUGCUUUUCUUUGGCCUUCUUCCUCUUUACCUCUUUCCUUGUAUUGUUUGUAAAGGAAAAAAAAUUAUAACCAGAAAAUUUCUCUUAGCAAUGACUGCUACAACAGCUACAGCAACCAAGUUUAUCAAAUGUGUAACGGUUGGAGAUGGAGCUGUUGGAAAGACUUGCCUUCUUAUCUCCUACACUAGCAACACCUUCCCUACCGAUUAUGUUCCCACUGUUUUCGAUAACUUCAGUGCCAAUGUUGUGGUUGAUGGGAAGACCGUGAAUCUGGGUCUCUGGGAUACUGCUGGUCAGGAGGAUUACAACAGGCUAAGGCCUCUAAGUUAUAGAGGAGCUGAUGUUUUCAUUCUUGCCUUUUCUCUCAUAAGUAGGCCUAGCUAUGAGAAUAUAUCAAAAAAAUGGGUCCCAGAGCUCAGACAUUAUGCCCCAUCAGUACCCAUUAUUCUUGUGGGGACUAAACUAGAUCUGAGGGAAGAUCGACAAUUUCACUUAGAUUAUCCUGGGGCGUGCACCAUUUCUACAGAGCAGGGUAUAGAACUAAAGAAGCAAAUAGGAGCAUUGGCAUAUGUAGAAUGCAGCUCUAAGACACAGCAGGUUUGUUUCACAUCUGUAUAUAUUCUUACCAAGUGAUUCGCUUAGGGUCUGAUCAUUUGCAACUCUCUAGCCAUAUAAUGGCCUUUCUCGAUAAAUUAGUAACUUUAUUGUAACUUGCCUUCCAUGUCUCUAGUAAAGUCCUUGGUAAAGGAAUAGGAAAUGAAGUGCAACUUAGUAUUAUUCCUGUCAUGCCUCCAUAGAUUCUUUGGCCGCUCUAGGAAAUCAUAUGAGGACACUUUUCUAAUAAAAUACCUAUCAUGUCUAGAAUGAAAAUGCUUCUCAAGUAUGAACUCAAGUGAAAACCUUGAAAUCUUAAGCUAAAGUCUUAAUUCUUGGAAACUAAAAUUUUGUAAAAAAAUCAAUUCAAUUGAUUUCUUUUUUUUAUCAAUUCUCAUAUUUAGAAUAAAAAAAUUCAGUUUUUUUUACUUGAAAAAAUUUUGAUUUUAAAAUAAAUAGAAAUUAAAUAUGAUUGUAUGAAAAUUCAAUUGAAUUCUUUUCUUACAAAUGAUUUAUUCCAGAG
Molecule: unclassified non-coding RNA, 1168 nt
Filed under: Hevea brasiliensis (rubber tree)
Lineage: Eukaryota; Viridiplantae; Streptophyta; Magnoliopsida; Malpighiales; Euphorbiaceae
Source: RNAcentral